GAAGAGACGGUCUUCUAAGCUUCCGUUAGCCAUGUACUCAUAAACUAGGCAGCCAAAUUCAGGACAGGCUCCAAGAAGUAGAACCAUGUUGGGAUGUCGUAUGCAACUUAGUACUUCAACCUGCAUAAUCAUUCAAAUAUCUCGCUAAUGUCAAUAGACUUGUUAGACGAUGCAAAACUUCUCAGGUCAAAGUCAGAGCCAGUUGAAUAACGGGGAGGCGUCCCUGAAUCUAUACUAUCGUAGAAAGAGGGAAACAUGCGGUCCACACUUGGCCUUCCACUACUCACAAACGAUAUGUCACUAUCUGGAGUAAAUUGUGUUCUCUCUGUACCAAGUGAAACCUAGUGAGUCAGGGGAAAAACCAGAAGGCAGUGGAAGUAGCAUUUACAGAAACAUAGAAAUGGUACCUCUGAACUGAUUGUUGCGCAUUGAAGGGGUGC
Molecule: long non-coding RNA, 440 nt
Organism: Ziziphus jujuba (common jujube)
Lineage: Eukaryota; Viridiplantae; Streptophyta; Magnoliopsida; Rosales; Rhamnaceae
Exons: 3
Source: RefSeq, a predicted model, not a curated record